Molecule: ribosomal RNA, 407 nt
Filed under: uncultured bacterium
Lineage: Bacteria
Description: bacterial SSU rRNA
Rfam family: Bacterial small subunit ribosomal RNA
Source: RNAcentral
UGGGGAAUAUUGCACAAUGGGCGAAAGCCUGAUGCAGCAACGCCGCGUGAGGGAUGACGGCCUUCGGGUUGUAAACCUCUUUUAGUAGGGAAGAAGCGAAAGUGACGGUACCUGCAGAAAAAGCACCGGCUAACUACGUGCCAGCAGCCGCGGUAAUACGUAGGGUGCAAGCGUUGUCCGGAAUUAUUGGGCGUAAAGAGCUCGUAGGCGGCUUGUCGCGUCUGCCGUGAAAACCCAGGGCUCAACCCUGGGCGUGCGGUGGGUACGGGCAGGCAAGAGUGCGGUAGGGGAGAUUGGAAUUACUGGUGGAGCGGUGGAAUGCGCAGGUAACAGGAGGAACACCGAUAGCGGAGACAGAUCUCUGGGCCGCUACUGACGCUGAGGAGCGAAAGCAUGGGGAGCGAACA